UACAGAGGGUGCAAGCGUCAAUCGGAUUUACUGGGCGUAAAGGGCGCGUAGGCGGUUAUUUAAGUUUGAUGUGAAAUCCCUGGGCUUAACCUAGGAACUGCAUUGAAUACUGGAUAACUAGAGUAUUGUAGAGGGUAGUGGAAUUUCCGGUGUAGCGGUGAAAUGCGUAGAGAUCGGAAGGAACACCAGUGGCGAAGGCGGCUACCUGGACAAAUACUGACGCUGAGGCGCGAAAGCGUGGGGAUCAAACAGG
Molecule: ribosomal RNA, 253 nt
Filed under: uncultured bacterium
Lineage: Bacteria
Description: partial 16S ribosomal RNA
Rfam family: Bacterial small subunit ribosomal RNA
Source: RNAcentral